This 1251-nucleotide long non-coding RNA is filed under the name Olea europaea (common olive). Its description in RNAcentral is "long non-coding RNA (OEUR_LNC014592)". The record is from RNAcentral. Lineage: Eukaryota; Viridiplantae; Streptophyta; Magnoliopsida; Lamiales; Oleaceae.
UUAUUUUUCACUGCUUCAACCUCCAAGAAUCAACCAAGUUACUAACCCCUUAUCAGAAGGUCUAAUCCUCUAAAACACAAGACAUGUGAUGUCCAUUUUUUCAGAUAUAAUUUUAUUCUUUCAAUUACCCUUUGUGAGGACGUCUCUCCAUUAAGCUUUCUAAAUUACUCGUGUAGCGAGUUUUAGGUCGAUUACUUUCAAAUCAGAUGAUUUUAGGGCAUCACAUUUUAAACCCUUGCAGGCUUAAUCAUUCGAGUUAUAAAGGCUAUGAAGAGACGAUUCAUAAUAAGAUUAUUAAAGUUGUCCUCAUUGGGAUCUUUUUUCUUUGUAGUGAUUAGUAUAAUUCCCCUUAUUAAACACCUAUUCUCGAAAAUUGACCUCUAGCCUAAGGUUUUCACCCAAUUUUUAUCUAAUUAGUCUCCGACAGUCCACACAAAAAAUUAGCACACAUGGAAUCAACAUUUAUCUCCAAGUUUUCCUGCAACAGUGCAAUCAUCCAAACAUCCUAGGUUUGGUUUAAGGGUAUAAUAAUAAUUAAUGGUUGUUUGGAUUUAACAUCUAAAUUCUCUAAUCCAACCUAUAAACAUGAAUCAAUCUAUUCGUGUAGAACGCCACAAUCAACUCACGUGCAAGAAUAUUUUUCAUUUCAUACGAAUAAGCAAAAAUUUAACUCAAACACACAACUUAUCCACAAUUUAGAAAUCAAUGCAUGUUCUCAAUAAUAUACAUCAUUGUCGGCAAAGUAUCUAACUCACACAAGUAUGCAAAACACAAUUUUUUAGUUGUACACAAAUCACACAAAAUAAAAAAUAAAUAAAUUAUGCAAUUAGACAAUUUAUAAUACACUCUCUCACACUUAGACUAAACAUUGUCCCCAAUAUGAAAUUAAAAGAGAAGGAGAAGAACUUCCCUGAAUUGUCUAAAUUGCCCAUGACAGUACGGUGUUAUGAUAUUGAUGCUGAUGAACGGAUCUUCUAACUUUUUCCCCAAACUUGAUAUUUAUCUUUUUUUUUUCCUUGUCAAUAUUGGUUUAAGUGUUUCGCGACGUCAUGUUCCUGAAAAGUCAAAGUUUAGAUAUUAAACAAAUAGAACAAGUGGUACUUAACUCAAACAUCUAAUAACCAAUUUGAUUACUCAAAUACCUAAGAGGAGUUAGGAUAUGGCUGAUGAAUACCGAAAUAAACUCUAAAAUACAAUAAACUAGCGUAUAAUUAAAAAAAAUAAAAAAACAAACGAUUGGUUUGCCUCCCN